UACGAAGGGGGCUAGCGUUGCUCGGAAUUACUGGGCGUAAAGGGCGCGUAGGCGGCACUGUUAGUCAGGCGUGAAAGUCCUGGGCUCAACCUGGGAACUGCGCUUGAUACGGCAGAGCUAGAGGAUGGAAGAGGGUCGCGGAAUUCCCAGUGUAGAGGUGAAAUUCGUAGAUAUUGGGAAGAACACCGAUGGCGAAGGCAAUCCCCUGGGCCUGCACUGACGCUCAUGCACGAAAGCGUGGGGAGCAAACAGG
Molecule: ribosomal RNA, 253 nt
Filed under: uncultured bacterium
Lineage: Bacteria
Description: partial 16S ribosomal RNA
Rfam family: Bacterial small subunit ribosomal RNA
Source: RNAcentral